Molecule: ribosomal RNA, 602 nt
Filed under: uncultured bacterium
Lineage: Bacteria
Description: bacterial SSU rRNA
Rfam family: Bacterial small subunit ribosomal RNA
Source: RNAcentral
UCAAAGGAAUUGACGGGGACCCGCACAAGCGGCGGAGCAUGCGGAUUAAUUCGAUGCAACGCGAAGAACCUUACCAAGGCUUGACAUAUACGAGAACGGGCCAGAAAUGGUCAACUCUUUGGACACUCGUAAACAGGUGGUGCAUGGUUGUCGUCAGCUCGUGUCGUGAGAUGUUGGGUUAAGUCCCGCAACGAGCGCAACCCUCGUUCUAUGUUGCCAGCACGUAAUGGUGGGAACUCAUGGGAUACUGCCGGGGUCAACUCGGAGGAAGGUGGGGAUGACGUCAAAUCAUCAUGCCCCUUAUGUCUUGGGCUUCACGCAUGCUACAAUGGCCGGUACAAAGGGCUGCAAUACCGCGAGGUGGAGCGAAUCCCAAAAAGCCGGUCCCAGUUCGGAUUGAGGUCUGCAACUCGACCUCAUGAAGUCGGAGUCGCUAGUAAUCGCAGAUCAGCAACGCUGCGGUGAAUACGUUCCCGGGUCUUGUACACACCGCCCGUCAAGUCAUGAAAGUCGGUAACACCUGAAGCCGGUGGCCUAACCUUUUUGGAGGGAGCCGUCGAAGGUGGGAUUGGUAAUUAGGACUAAGUCGUAACAAGGUAACC